Erinaceus europaeus (western European hedgehog) is the source of this 108-nucleotide non-coding RNA. The record is from Rfam. Lineage: Eukaryota; Metazoa; Chordata; Mammalia; Eulipotyphla; Erinaceidae.
AUGCUCACUUCUGCAGCACAUAUACUAAAACUGGAACAGUGCAGAGCCCUGUUAACAUGACCCCUGUGCAAGGAUGACACACAAAUUCAUAAACCAUCUCAUAUUUAA